RNAcentral lists this transfer RNA (76 nucleotides) under Clostridium acidisoli DSM 12555. RNAcentral's name for it is "tRNA_Thr_CGT". It matches the Rfam family "tRNA". Rfam says of the family: Transfer RNA (tRNA) molecules are approximately 80 nucleotides in length. Their secondary structure includes four short double-helical elements and three loops (D, anti-codon, and T loops). Further hydrogen bonds mediate the characteristic L-shaped molecular structure. tRNAs have two regions of fundamental functional importance: the anti-codon, which is responsible for specific mRNA codon recognition, and the 3' end, to which the tRNAs corresponding amino acid is attached (by aminoacyl-tRNA synthetases). tRNAs cope with the degeneracy of the genetic code in two manners: having more than one tRNA (with a specific anti-codon) for a particular amino acid; and 'wobble' base-pairing, i.e. permitting non-standard base-pairing at the 3rd anti-codon position. Lineage: Bacteria; Bacillati; Bacillota; Clostridia; Eubacteriales; Clostridiaceae. The record is from RNAcentral. RNAcentral also lists the same sequence under 1 other name.
GCUUCCGUAGCACAGCUGGUAGUGCAACUGAUUCGUAAUCAGUAGGUCGAGUGUUCAAAUCACUUCGGGAGCACCA